UGUGUAGGCGGUUGCUUAAGUUUGGUGUGAAAUCUCCCGGCUCAACUGGGAGGGUGCGCCGAAUACUGAGUGACUCGAGUGCGGGAGAGGAAAGUGGAAUUCCUGGUGUAGCGGUGAAAUGCGUAGAUAUCAGGAGGAACACCGGUGGUGUAGACGGCUUUCUGGACCGUAACUGACGCUGAGACACGAAAGCGUGGGUAGCAAACAGGAUUAGAUACCCUGGUAGUCCACGCCCUAAACGAUGCAUAUUUGGUGUGGGUCAUUCAGUUGAUCCGUGCCGGAGCUAACGCGUUAAAUAUGCCGCCUGGGGAGUACAGUCGCAAGGCUGAA
This 330-nucleotide ribosomal RNA is filed under the name uncultured bacterium. RNAcentral's name for it is "bacterial SSU rRNA". It matches the Rfam family "Bacterial small subunit ribosomal RNA", at positions 568 to 898 of the family's 1533-position model. The record is from RNAcentral.